AUAUGUAAUGAGGUAAUGUUCAGUGAUGGUUUGUUAUUUUUUUUAAUUUCAGAAUGGAACUCAACAAAAUCCUUAACACAAGGCCUUCUUCCCCAUACUGGACUCCUCCACCUUUACACGUCCAUGUACUGGCUGAGAGGGAAAGUGCCCGUGUAGUUUCCUGGGAGUUUGGAAUAGAUUCGGCUGAGGCCAAAAUAACAAAAAUUAACAAAGUGGUGGCCAUCACAGAUGGCCACACAGUGUCUAAAGUGACAUUAUUUGAGGAAUUGCGACACAAAUUGGAAGAAAAAAAAAACUACAUAAUUAAAAAUUAUUAUUUAAAAGGAGACACCCCACCACUACACAUUAUGGUCAGUAAAAAAACCAACUUCUUUAAAAGCUCCCCAGUGGAGCUCACAUGCGAGGGCCUGCCGGAGGCAGCAAAGGCUCUACUCUUUCCAUCUUCCAAGGUGGUGAAACUGAUGGAAUGGAAAGGUGUUGGUGGCCUCCUGACUGUUGAAGGUCAGGUUGUACAAGUAAGUUUUUUAUUAUUUCUCAUGCAAACAGUAGACCAUUUCCUGGAAGUUUAAUACCAUGUACAUCUUUGGGGUGGGGGAUUACACACAUAAAGAUUUACAAAUAGUAAAUAUCUUUAAAUUGUUGCUUUGUUUCUCUAAUAAUAAUGGUGGAUGAAAGGACUGAGACACCUGUCCUCCAGCUGUAUGUUGUGUGGUCAUCAAUCUUGGGAAAGAAAACUCAGAAGCAGUUCUUUGGAUGUAGGUGGCUUUGAUGUCAGCGGUGCCUCAAACACACCUUUAAUACAGCAGCAGGAGGCAAAAUCAUUAAUGCAUCUCCAGUACAGUAACAUUACAGCUCCCAACAUGCAGGCUACUAGUCUCAACUGAGAGAUGAGAGAGCUGCGCACAUUUAAAAUGCUGGUAAUCCUAAGGUAUCAACAGAAACAUUGCACGCUAACAUAAAAAUAGCACAAUUAUUAAACAUAAAAAAACAAACCUGCACCAAAUGUCACACAAUCCAACUAUUGUGCACAAAUAAACUGAAAUAACCCAAAACAAACCUUCAAAACAGCAGGAGGCAAAAAUCAGCAACUAAUCUCCAGUAUAGCAACAUUAUAGCUCCUGCCAUUUACCAUUUAAUCUCAUUGUGUAGAUCUCCAAUGUGAAGAAGAUACGGAGUGGCGGUGGAGACGUUCCUCUGCGUCAGAUCACUUUGAAGCAGGGUGACGUUCAGGCUUAUGUCUCUCUGUGGAGGGAGGCAACAUUAGAAACACCUGAACUGGGGGCCAGCAUACAGAUUUCUCACGUGAGAGGAUCCAAGGGCCAGCUGCAGUCAACUGGACACACAAAGAUUGAGAAGGUUGCAGUCCAGACCAUAAUGGUGGUUAUAGAAGUCUUGGGUGCUGAGGAGACUGAAGAAGGAGAGUUCCAGCUGCUCCUCUCCAAUGGGGAUCAACCCCACAUCAAACAAUCAUUCUGGGAACCAUUCGAAAACCUCCUUGAAAAAGGGAAACUCGUUGUAAAGUUGGAGAUCCAAGGUGGCUGGGUCACAAAAAUAGAACCCUCCACUGAAAAAAAUGAAAUGUAAGAUUUUGGAUUUUGUAAAUAGUUCCAUUUGAUGUGUAAUAUUUGGCUGUUCAAUGUUAAGAUGUUAGUAGAAUUGUUAGGUAUUUAGAAAAAAAAUUGCUGUUAUGUUCUAUAGGUAUUUGGUUAAUAUUUAGUAGCUUUUUGAUGUUUCUUUAGGUGUUUAGUCUGUGGCUGUAUUAAUUUUACUUAAUCAAAUAAUCUGUA
Nothobranchius furzeri (turquoise killifish) is the source of this 1787-nucleotide non-coding RNA. Lineage: Eukaryota; Metazoa; Chordata; Actinopteri; Cyprinodontiformes; Nothobranchiidae. The record is from RefSeq and is a predicted model, not a curated record.